UACGAGGGGUGCAAGCGUUGCUCGGAAUUAUUGGGCGUAAAGGGUAGGUAGGUGGUCUCAUUUGUCCGGGGUGAAAGCCUUGAGCUUAACUCAAGAAGUGCCUCGGAAACGGUGAGACUAGAGUCUUUGGAGAGGGUCGUGGAAUUCUCGGUGUAGCGGUGAAAUGCGUAGAGAUCGGGAGGAACACCAGAGGCGAAGGCGGCGACCUGGACAAGUACUGACACUCAACUACGAAAGCGUGGGGAGCAAACAGGG
Molecule: ribosomal RNA, 255 nt
Filed under: uncultured bacterium
Lineage: Bacteria
Description: partial 16S ribosomal RNA
Rfam family: Bacterial small subunit ribosomal RNA
Source: RNAcentral